RNAcentral lists this long non-coding RNA (340 nucleotides) under Equus caballus (horse). Its description in RNAcentral is "lncRNA (ENSECAG00000051328.1)". The record is from RNAcentral. Lineage: Eukaryota; Metazoa; Chordata; Mammalia; Perissodactyla; Equidae.
ACUCUUACCAGUUUGGGGCUUAAAGUACCAGUGGUACUUUAGGAAAGCAGGAUGGUAAAAAUUGGAGUUGUAUGUGCAUUCACAUUCAUACUCUCAGCUUUGGUUGAUGCCUUAAUCAUACUAAACUUCAUAUCAUCUCCAUUUAUGCCAGAAACCUCCAUCAAGUCUUGCUCUAAACCCGUGUCUUAUGCUUUCUUCUUAUUCUGUCUAAUUCCAGAAACAAUGAUGGAGUAGCCAGCUCUCUUGGGAGACCUCUGAUUGUGUCUCUGGUCAAAACCAACCUCCCUCAUUUCUGAUUAGCCCUGAGCUAACUACUGCCAAUCCUCCUCUUUUUGCUGAG